UACCGAAUAUGAUCAAAUAACAUUUACCAAAUAUCUCAUCUGUUAAUGGGUGAAUAUACGCUUUUUGAAUUUCAAUGGUCCAUAGACAAAUUUUAAGUUAAACUUAUUAUAUUAUUGUGUCUCUAUGCUUAAACAAUAAAAAAUAUUUUGUCGUUUAACUUGCCCAUAUAGUUAUUCGCGAUAAUUGUUCAAUUUAUGGUAUUAAUAGUUUAAAAUAGUUAUAAAUGUACACUCCUCUGGCCGACCCAUUAAUGGGUUAUCAUGAUUUUAUAGCGAAAUACUUGAAAUACGUAUGCAGUUAUGUUUAUUUUAUCAAAAUAGACUAUAGAAAUAUUUAUGAAUAUAAUAAAAAAAUGUCACUUCAUUUGACGAAACUCAAAGAAGUAAAAUUUGACUUAAAAUCGCCAAGGUACGUUUUAACCUUGAACUACGCGAGUACGACAGUGUGACGUUAGAAGCAAAUUAACGACAUUGAGAAAAACUAUAAUAAUUUUGCGUGAGUUUGCGAUUCACUUUCGGAGAGCAUAUUUGUGCCAGUCGUUCGAGUAUUUCAUUUGAUACUAUGACAUCAUGAUAAAUGUAAAAAAAAGGAAAAGAUGUUCGAAAAAAAUAACAACCGAAGAAUUAAAACCGACUCGAUUAAAAAUGCAGAACUGAGAGAAAAAGAAAGACAGCAAAAGGAAAAAAAAGAAAAAGGGGCAAAUUAAGAGCUUACAUGAUAUGACUGAAAGAAAACAAAGGCUAGCAAAGCAUAGAGCUAGCGUAUAGUAAUAAUCAACUAGAAAUUAUCCUGUAACACUACCUUCUAAGUCUAAUAAUGAAGACCAACAUCCACUUCCGCAAAACAAUGUCGCUCACGCUGCAGCGAUCAGAUUCAGCGGAAACAACGAAAUAAACUUAGAAAAAAAAACAAAAAUAUUAAACAGUUACGUCAAAAGGUACAUGACUAUUAUAAAAACGCAUCCAAAAGCAGGAUAUGACUGCAAACAUAUGAAUUUGACAUCGAAUGACUAUAAAAAUAUAAAAUAGUCAAGAAAUAUGAAGUAUUGAUCCAAAUUAAUAUGAAAUUGCUUUGCUACAGAAUUAGACAAAUACUGUCCCGGAAUUCAAAUGUUUGUGAUACCCGAAGAAGGAAUGAUUUUCAAAAGAAGAUAAUAGACCAAAUGUGAAACCUUUAACUGGUACAAUAAAAAUACAUCAAGUAUGUGGAAACUAGUCGUUGUACAUGAAGGGCGUCAGCUGCUUUCGUAGCAGUUUUUGUCUUCAUUUUUACUUAGGCGAUAUUAAAUACCACCAAAACCAAAAAAUAAAUUGGAUGUUGCUGCAGUAUUCUAAGGAAGAUGUGUCAAAUGAAAUGGUUACACAAAUAUCUACUCAUCUGAAUAAUUCAUCUGUUCUUGUGGAAUAUCAUAUUGAUAAUAAAAAAUAUAGAUCUGCUGGCGCAUGUUCGUUAGAUUUUGAUGAAGAAGGAUAAAUUUCUAAAUCUUCUUGAUUAUAGGAUCUCUUCUGUUUCAAAAUUAGUUUUUUUAAAUAAUUUUUGGAAGAUAUAAAAAAUUGACACUGACAAUUUGCAUAUUUAUAUUGAUCAAUAUUAAAGAAAUUUAUAUAUUUAUAUCUACCAAGGUUUAUAUUUAUAUAUUUAGUUUCACAAAAAUUGUUGAUUCUGUUCUUUGCACAAAAGUGUAUAUGCUGUAGACAGAUAUUUUUUAAGUUUGUAUAAAUAGCCUUGAGACUGAAAGGUGUAUCAUUAGAUAGUGUAUUUUGUGAAACAAGUUCAUAUUUUUGUUUCAUUUAGUAAGUUUAUUUAGAUUAAAGUGCCUUAAAUGAAGGUUUUAAGUGUCUGAAUGUUUUAUAAUAAGAAACUAUCAAAUACUACAUACUGUGAAUAUCAUCUCAGAUGAAUAUAUUAAUUAUUAUUUAAUACGAGUAAUUGACACUUACGCAUUAUCAAAUUAUUAAUCUUAAUAAUAAGAUUGCAUUUAGAAAAUGUAAAGAUUGAAAGUAUCUUGUAAAAUAAAAAAUAUACAAAUACUAUAAUUUAAA
This is a long non-coding RNA of Diorhabda sublineata, 2043 nucleotides long. RefSeq lists it as uncharacterized. NCBI's taxonomy places the organism in Eukaryota, Metazoa, Arthropoda, Insecta, Coleoptera, Chrysomelidae. The record is from RefSeq and is a predicted model, not a curated record. The transcript is spliced from 2 exons.